AAAGUAGAAAAAAAACACUAUGGAAAGAAUUCCCCUUCAUGAGCUGUAGAUUGCACUUGUAGUUUAUUGAGCCCAGAACAAAGAUUUGAUAUCUAUUUCCUUUCUAUUACAGCUCAUGAACUCACAACUGGAAUUUGCUUCUUCUAAAAGGAAAAAAAGAAGAGAAAGGAAAAAAAAAAAAAAGAUAUAGUGAGCCAGACCAUAAAACAGCAUUGGACUCUUAAAAAUUACAUUACAAUUGGAAUUUUUAAACCUAUGUAGAAAUUAUUAUUGUAUUGUAUUACUGUAAUAAGUGAAAUAGGAUAUUUUCAGCACAAAAUUUAAACAAAAAUAAACACCAGUAGUAUGGUGUAGGAAAUUACAAAUUGAAGCACUCAGUUUUAAAGGGAUUAAGGGUAAUGUAAAAUUGGCCUUUCACUUAAUACUGCUCUGCUGCUUUGGCAACUAUGCACCAAGAGACAGUUAAACAAUUACAUUAUUUCUGGCUAUAAAAUACUACCAGAAAAAAUCAUGUUUCAGAAUAAAUAAGGAAAAAAUAAAAUAAUUUAUGGACUAACAGGCCCAUACAAAUGGACACCAAAUGCACUGCAGCUUUCCCAGGACAGUGCCCAGUGUCGUUUUUCCCCCACCCUGCCCUUCCAAGUGACCCACAGAAGUGAGAGGAAUGACAUAUCCAAAACCAAGCCAUAAUGCCAAAGGCCAGAUUGACCUGCCAUGAAUACCAAUGGGAAAGAACUCUGUUGGUAGAACUGUGAAUGCUCUACAGUGGCAAGAGCAUGAUGCUCACCUCCACUGUAAUACCAGACAGAUCUACAGGAAUGGCCAAGGCUCCAAAUGGCCUUCCAAAACCAUGUGUGUCACCAAACCACUACAAAAUUUACCAGCUGCCUUCAGGAGAAAACUGAGAGAAGAUCUGAGACUUUUUAAGAAGUGAUAUCUGAAAAUUCCCUUGGCAAUUGCUAUU
This is a long non-coding RNA of Anas platyrhynchos (mallard), 964 nucleotides long. RefSeq lists it as uncharacterized. Lineage: Eukaryota; Metazoa; Chordata; Aves; Anseriformes; Anatidae. The record is from RefSeq and is a predicted model, not a curated record.